AACGAACGCUGGCGGCGUGCCUAACACAUGCAAGUCGAACGAGAAAGGGGCUUCGGCUCCGAGUAAAGUGGCGCACGGGUGAGUAACACGUAGGUAACCUGCCACUAAGAUUGGGAUAACCUGUCGAAAGACGAGCUAAUACCAAAUGAGACCACAGUCUCUUCGGAGACAGGGGUCAAAGGUAGCCGCUAUUUAUAAGCUAUCGCUCAGAGAUGGGCCUGCGUACCAUUAGCUAGUUGGUGAGGUAACGGCUCACCAAGGCAAAGAUGGUUAGCUGGUCUGAGAGGAUGAUCAGCCACACUGGAACUGAGACAAGGUCCAGACUCCUACGGGAGGCAGCAGUGGGGAGUAUUGCGCAAUGGGCGAAAGCCUGACGCAGCAACGCCGCGUGAGUGAUGAAGGCCUUCGGGUCGUAAAGCUCCGUCGGAGGGAACGAAUGCUCUUGAGGUUAACAGCCUCGGGAAGUGACGGUACCCUCAAAGGAAGCACCGGCUAACUCUGUGCCAGCCGCCGCCGUAA
Molecule: ribosomal RNA, 519 nt
Filed under: uncultured bacterium
Lineage: Bacteria
Description: partial 16S ribosomal RNA
Rfam family: Bacterial small subunit ribosomal RNA
Source: RNAcentral